UCUACUGUCUCCUCACCCUGAGCUGUCAUGUUUCCUGGAAUUCAAUCUGCUGGGUGUGCCCACCACACACACAAGCCCCAGAUGAAGAUGGAGUUGGAAAGGAGCCCCUGGCAAGAGCAAAAGAGUUCCCCUUCUGGGGAGAGCUUCUCCUUGUGCCCAAGUUCUUGCUUCAGUAGGAGGAAGAUGCAGUCUUUUUGACACCCACCAUGACCUGGUUUUCUGGAUUGUCAAGUUACAUGUGCUACAUGACACCAACCAGACUUUCCUGGGCAGAUGACCUCACCAAUGUGUCUCUAGAGCUCUUCACCAGUAGGGACAAAUAAAAACAAGCUGGGAGUAUGGAUUGACCUGUCAAUGCCCAUGUCCAUUGGAGAAGCAACUAUAGAAGUCAGACCUUCCACCUCCUACACCCCAUAAUGAUCCUGUGUCCAUGCUCCCAUAGAGAUAAAUAAUAGGGAAACUUCCAAUGGAGUGGAUGGGAUACAGAACUCUGGUAGUGGUAAUUAUAUGGAAUUGUACCCUUCUUAUCCUACAAUCUUGUCAGUCAUGAUUAAAUCAAAGAAGAAAAAAGGAGGAGGAGG
Long non-coding RNA from Erinaceus europaeus (western European hedgehog), 581 nucleotides. RefSeq lists it as uncharacterized. The transcript has 3 exons. Lineage: Eukaryota; Metazoa; Chordata; Mammalia; Eulipotyphla; Erinaceidae. The record is from RefSeq and is a predicted model, not a curated record.